UACGGAGGAUGCAAGCGUUAUCCGGAAUGAUUGGGCGUAAAGCGUCCGCAGGUGGCUAUGUAAGUCUGCUGUUAAAGAGUGAGGCUCAACCUCAUAAGAGCAGUGGAAACUACAUGGCUAGAGUGCGUUCGGGGCAGAGGGAAUUCCUGGUGUAGCGGUGAAAUGCGUAGAUAUCAGGAAGGACACCGGUGGCGAAAGCGCUCUGCUAGGCCGCAACUGACACUGAGGGACGAAAGCUAGGGGAGCGAAUGGG
RNAcentral lists this ribosomal RNA (253 nucleotides) under uncultured bacterium. RNAcentral's name for it is "partial 16S ribosomal RNA". It matches the Rfam family "Bacterial small subunit ribosomal RNA", at positions 524 to 776 of the family's 1533-position model. The record is from RNAcentral.